GCUUGUGAAACAUGUCACUGUGGGGAGAAUUACUGAGCCAUUUGACUUCUGCAACCAGAAAACAUGAAAGCUGAAAUAACACUCUGGCUGCUAGAACACGUGCCGAACAGGCAUUGGUGUGGAUGGGAAACUCUCCUGUAUCCCGAGGGCCUUCCAUGUCAAAUAUAAAAUGUAAGUCAAAGGCAAUGGAACAUAAAGUGCUAUGCUGUACCUGGUAUUUGACAAAUGGGUGAACAUAAGCAUAAGUCAGAUUAGUUAGUCUCAUGGAAUACUGAACAGGCAAAAAAGUGGCACCUUUCUUUUCAACAUGAUGUAGAAGAACUGAGCUCCAGUAACCAAUGGCUAGGCAUGAGGGUCCCUUUAAGCAAGAUUAUUUUAGCCACUGUCCUAACUGUGAGAAGCACAAAUUUUAAGUCAUUAUUCAUUUUGCAAAAGGAUACUGUGCCUCAAUUAAAAGAAGUGUUUAUACAGUUUCUUAAGUUACAACCUCUUUUAAUGAGAUUUUAUUUUAAUUGGUGGUUUUUGUCUAUUUAACAGUGUACUCACAAUUUUUCAGAAGUAGACCGUGUGCAUUAACUAAAUAAAUGAGAUGCAGGUAGAAAUGGAAAAUAGUAGAUGAAGGUCUACAUUUUCUCUGAUCUCCUUAAGUCCUGUCAUUCUUAAUUACUAAUGUUUGGUCCCCAUUUGCCCUUGUAAUUUGUACUAUCAUACAUCAUGACAAAAGGAGCAGCAUUCAUUCUGAAGAAAGAAAAACUUGGCUGGGUGUGGUGGCUCACGCCUGUAAUCCCAGCACUUUGGGAGGCUGAGGCAGGCAGAUCACUUGAGGUCAGGAGUUCGAGACCAGCCUGGCCAACAUGGUGAAACCCUGUCUCUACUAAAAAUACAAAAAAUUAGCUGGGCGUGGUGGUGGGCCCCUGUAUUCCCAGCCACUUGGGAGGCUGAGGCAGAAGAAUGGCGUGAACCCAGGAGGCGGAGCUUGCAGUGAGCCGAGAUGGUGCCACUGUACUCCAGCCUGGGCGACAGAGCAAGACUCCGUUUCAAAAAAAAAAAAAAAAAAAG
Molecule: long non-coding RNA, 1059 nt
Filed under: Macaca fascicularis (crab-eating macaque)
Lineage: Eukaryota; Metazoa; Chordata; Mammalia; Primates; Cercopithecidae
Description: lncRNA (ENSMFAG00000048798.1)
Source: RNAcentral